Molecule: long non-coding RNA, 1392 nt
Filed under: Oreochromis niloticus (Nile tilapia)
Lineage: Eukaryota; Metazoa; Chordata; Actinopteri; Cichliformes; Cichlidae
Description: lncRNA (ENSONIG00000042516.1)
Source: RNAcentral
UGAUAGGAAGCAUUGGUUCUCCACUCCCUGACACUGUAAUGUGGAGGAGCACUGACUGGUGGAAGGGUCACAAAAGUUGCAUACUCCACCAUUAUUUGACUGAGAAGCAGGAUCUAAAACAGAAAAGAAGAUGAUUUCAUUUCAGAACAGAGACCCUUAGAACAUCAGAUUGUUGUCUUUAUUUCUUUAUAUUAUUCUUUUGUCUUCAAUGAGCAACGUAGUAUUUAACUUACUUGCAGUUAUCUGUGUCGCAGCAUUGAGCAGAAGCCAGAGCACUUUGAAAACCCAGGUCGACUGAAAAUGUCUGAGAGGUUACGGCUGGACACAGGGAGGAAGAUGCACAUGCCUUGUAGAUUUGUGUUGUCGUAGUUCCAGAUGAAGUAGCUACAAAGGCAAAGUGCAGCUGGUUAAUGUUGAUGGAACACAAAUAGCUUCACAGGGGAUGUAAUUUAGUGAAAAUAUUAAAUAUGAAAUGAGAAAACAUUACCUAGAAUGGUAGCUGUAACACACAUUGUUUUCGAUGAACAUGUAUUUGCUAUUGUGUUUGAACACGUCAAAUCUGUGCAGGUUUGACACUGAAGGGCUCCAGCUGCAACCAGGAGAGAAAUACAGAAAUGAUGAUCACAAUUUAAAUAUAUAGCAAAUAUGAGAUGUUUUGAAAGUUCAUAUUAGGUUACAGCAGGUUACAGUUGAGUCAAUACUACUCACUAACUUUGGAAAAAAAAGAUUUAAAACUUUAAAUUAGACUCUCUUCUACCUGCAGGUGAAAUGAAUGUAGUUACCUGUGGUGGAGAGUGCCCAGAGAAGAAUCAGAGAAAACAGCAGCUUCAUUGUGAUGAACAGUUUGCUCUUACACGGCUCAAACAACCAAGAAAUCAUCUAAACCUCAUGAUCUACCAUCUCAAAUGUUUCAUCUCAAGAACCAUCAUGAAGCACAACUGACGCUGUAACUCUGUCAUAGUGUUGUGUUACUCUCUGAAUUUACCACACCUGCUGUUGUUAAAUGGAUGUCAUUGCCACACUCUUUUUGUAAUGUAAUAAUAGCACUAUUCAAAUCAAACAUACAGCAUGUUAUUUAUCAAGUAUGAUCAUGUGUCACACACACCUGACUUACGUAGCACUUCUUUUUGUUCUAUUAUGGACUAACGCAGAAAUAACGCAGGUUGUUUGUGAUGUACUUAAUUAAGGGUUUGGCCAUUAAAGUAAUUCUUCAGCUAAUGCCCUGGUAUGUCACCUACCUACACCCCACAGCCGAGUUAUCUUUUAAAUAUAUGCUUCUCUUUACUAUUUCUUUACUCCUUUCUGUUUUCAUGUCUUAGAUGAAACAUCUGAAACACUACUGUGUGACAAACAUGAACUAUAAAAGGAAGACUUUGACUGAAACUGCAGGGG